RNAcentral lists this ribosomal RNA (497 nucleotides) under uncultured bacterium. RNAcentral's name for it is "partial 16S ribosomal RNA". It matches the Rfam family "Bacterial small subunit ribosomal RNA", at positions 28 to 507 of the family's 1533-position model. The record is from RNAcentral.
GAUGAACGCUGGCGGCGUGCCUAAUACAUGCAAGUCGAGCGAACGGACGAGAAGCUUGCUUUUCUGAUGUUAGCGGCGGACGGGUGAGUAACACGUGGAUAACCUACCUAUAAGACUGGGAUAACUUCGGGAAACCGGAGCUAAUACCGGAUAAUAUUUUAAACCGCAUGGUUCAAAAGUGAAAGACGGUCUUGCUUUCACUUAUAGAUGGAUCCGCGCUGCAUUAGCUAGUUGGUAAGGUAACGGCUUACCAAGGCAACGAUGCAUAGCCGACCUGAGAGGGUGAUCGGCCACACUGGAACUGAGACACGGUCCAGACUCCUACGGGAGGCAGCAGUAGGGAAUCUUCCGCAAUGGGCGAAAGCCUGACGGAGCAACGCCGCGUGAGUGAUGAAGGUCUUCGGAUCGUAAAACUCUGUUAUUAGGGAAGAACAUAUGUGUAAGUAACUGUGCACAUCUUGACGGUACCUAAUCAGAAAGCCACGGCUAACUACGUG